RNAcentral lists this ribosomal RNA (493 nucleotides) under uncultured bacterium. Its description in RNAcentral is "bacterial SSU rRNA". It matches the Rfam family "Bacterial small subunit ribosomal RNA", at positions 28 to 500 of the family's 1533-position model. The record is from RNAcentral.
GACGAACGCUGGCGGCGUGCCUAACACAUGCAAGUCAAGGAGAAUUCCCGACUUGUCGGGAUAGUAAACUGGCGAACGGGUGAGUAACACGUAGGUAAUCUACCCUCGGGAUCGGGAUAACCUCGCGAAAGUGGGGAUAAUACCGAAUAAAGUCUCGGUAUAAUUUGUCGAGAUGAAAGAUGGGGAUCUUCGGACCUAUUACCUGAGGAUGAGCCUGCGCCUGAUUAGCUAGUUGGUAGGGUAAAUGCCUACCAAGGCAACGAUCAGUAGCUGGUCUGAGAGGAUGAUCAGCCACAUUGGGACUGAGAUACGGCCCAGACUCCUACGGGAGGCAGCAGUGAGGAAUUUUGCGCAAUGGGCGAAAGCCUGACGCAGCAACGCCGCGUGACUGAUUAAGCUCUGAGGAGUGUAAAAGUCUGUCGUAGAGGAAGAAACUAUCCGAUAAGAAUAUUGUCGGAUACGUGACGGUACUCUAUGAGAAAGCUCCGGCUAA